UGCAGUCGACGAGACAUCGCGUCAUAGUGGCGCACGGGUGCGUAAACGGCGUGGGAAUCUGCCCUUGGGGUUUCGGAAUAAACAGUUGGAAAACGGACUGCUUAAUACCGGAUAAUGACGUAAGUCCCAAAGAUUUAUCGCCCAAGGAUGGAGCCCGCGUAGGAUUAGCUAGUUGGUGAGGUAAAGGCUCACCAAGGGCGACGAUCCUUAGCUGGUCUGAGAGGAUGAUCAGCCACACUGGGACUGAGACACGGCCCAGACUCCUACGGGAGGCAGCAGUGGGGAAUAUUGGACAAUGGGCGGAAAGCCUGAUCCAGCAAUGCCGCGUGAGUCGACGAAGCCCUUAGGGUUGUAAAGCUCUUUUACCCGGGAUGAUAAUGACAGUACCGGGAGAAUAAGCUCCGGUCUAACUCCGUGCCUAGCAGCCGCGGUAAUACGGAGGGAGCUAGCGUUGUUCGGAAUUACUGGGCGUAAAGCGCACGUAGGCGGCUUUGUAAGUUAGAGGUGAAAGCCUGGAGCUCAACUCCAGAAUUGCCUUUAAGACUGCAUCGCUUGAAUCCAGGAGAGGUGAGUGGAAUUCCGAGUGUAGAGGUGAAAUUCGUAGAUAUUCGGAAGAACACCCAGUGGCGAAGGCGGCUCACUGGACUGGUAUUGACGCUGAGGUGCGAAAGCGUGGGGAGCAACACUUUAUUAGAUACCCUGGUAGUCCACGCCGUAACCCCCCUUUUUUGAGCUGGUCAGGGUUCUUAAGAACUUUGGGUGGCGCAGCCUAACGCCAUUAAGCUCUCCCGCCUCGGGGAGGUACAGCCGCAAGAUUAAAACCUCAAAAGGAAUUGAC
Molecule: ribosomal RNA, 838 nt
Filed under: uncultured bacterium
Lineage: Bacteria
Description: bacterial SSU rRNA
Rfam family: Bacterial small subunit ribosomal RNA
Source: RNAcentral